AUCGCUUCUCGGCCUUUUGGCUAAGAUCAAGUGUAGAAUAUUCUCUUCCCGUUAUCUAGAAAAAAAUGAUUAACAAAAUCCAAUAAUACUGAAUAUAUCUUUUAUAUGUGGUCUACAAUUGAUAGUAAUCAUUUACUGCACAAGCUAAGACUGGAAAACAUACC
Small nuclear RNA from Pan troglodytes (chimpanzee), 164 nucleotides. It matches the Rfam family "U2 spliceosomal RNA". Rfam says of the family: U2 is a small nuclear RNA (snRNA) component of the spliceosome (involved in pre-mRNA splicing). The record is from Rfam. Lineage: Eukaryota; Metazoa; Chordata; Mammalia; Primates; Hominidae.